GAGUAUUAAUAGAAUGAACUAUUAUACAAUAUUAUGUGAUAUUACAAUAUUAAUAAUUAUUUCAUCCUCUUUCCUUUAACAUCCUAAAUUAUUAUUUUAAGUUAAUUACUUUUAAUACAAGUGUUAUAGUAAUAAAAGGAAUAAAUAUAAUUUUAAAAAAGUAACAUAUCCUUUUAAAAAAAAAAUUCAGAAAAUUAUUACGACAUAAAACGCAAGUUUCCAAAAAUAUGAUGUAAAGAAACUAUUAUCUAUUACAAUAUAUAAUUUAUUGUUAUUGAUAAUUAGCCUAAGUUAUAACCAUAAUUUUUUGUGCCCACUUAGGAUUUAUUCUUGUAUAGAAAAUAUCAUCAUACAAAUUUUACUGUACAAUUCAUUUUUGUCACAUCAUCCUAUUUAAACGUCAACACUAGGUGAAGUGAACAGACAAAACACCUGCAAAAACCGGUAAGUAAACCACCCGAUCCCCCUUUCCACCCACAGUUUUUUAAAGAUUUUUCAUCCAAAAACCAGCCUAUUUAAGUCUGCACAUCGAUACCUAAAAGGUUGUCUUUGCAAUGAAAGAUUAUUUCGAGUGCGCAUUACAAAUUUUAAUUUACAAUAGACACCAAUUUUGUUAAUCUAGUUGGCAUAAUAUCGUCAGUUAGAUCACCGAUUUGUUGAUUAACCAGGCUAGAAAUUGCAUACAGGAGAACAAAUCCAAAUCAUUUGGGCAAAAAUUGACAAACUAAGAUUCAAUCCUAUUUUGGAUUUAAAGUAAUUUGUACAAGAGUAUUCACCAAUCUAAGUACUACUAGUGUGUCCCCAUUUCUGCAAAUCUUCUUGCAGCUUUGUGAACAUUUCUCCACAACCACAACCAGCGAAAAACAGGAAACCCCCCAAAAAAGAAAAAAAAAAA
This 895-nucleotide long non-coding RNA is filed under the name Citrus sinensis (sweet orange). Its description in RNAcentral is "long non-coding RNA (CSIN_LNC005687)". The record is from RNAcentral. Lineage: Eukaryota; Viridiplantae; Streptophyta; Magnoliopsida; Sapindales; Rutaceae.